GCUCCAUGAUGAUAUAAAGGCUAAUGUGACUUGACCAGCUGGGUUGCACCCUCAGCCCAUUCCAGUCAUACGGGCCUGUAAUCUUGGUGGACAAUGCAGAGCUGUGCGUGUUCGCUGUAAGGGCAGGCCGACAGAAAAUCCCCGUCCCCCGAUCCCUGGAAAAUACCUCUUUGGGAUGCAUCAGCUCUGAGUGAGUGUUCCUAUGAGCUGGGGGCGGGGCUGGGGGGAUAGGAUAGAAGAGCGCGUCCAAGGUUUGGGUUGCAGGGGGCAGCCCAUGUUGCAGCUGGUGAGAUGUGAGCACACAUCUUUGGUAAUCUGAUGACU
Molecule: small nucleolar RNA, 324 nt
Filed under: Gavia stellata (red-throated loon)
Lineage: Eukaryota; Metazoa; Chordata; Aves; Gaviiformes; Gaviidae
Source: RNAcentral